GGGAACAUUCCAAUAUACAUGGCCCUUUCCUUGACCAAAUGAUAAUCCCCUAUGGAACAGUCACCACUGACCGUCAGACAGGUUUUGUUAGAUCUUCUUGGAGGGCAGAGGUAAAAUGUGGCUGAUGGAACAGUGAACUACAAUCUGAUUUUACCCCUGGUUCCUGACAAACCUGGGGGGAUAUCACCUUGUCGCUUAUCGAGAUUUGAUCCUACAAUGAAGAGAAUGAUGUCAGUGAAAGCAUUAAGGACGUAGUUGUGCAUUUAAAUUUUGUAUGUUAUCGUUUCUUCAAUUUCAUGUCUUCCUGGAAACCUACCCGCCAAGCAAAGAUAUGAUUAAGUGAAACCCGAUAACUCCAACCACAGGAAUCAUCAAAGUACCAGGGCUAUUGUGCAAAAAGUACAGCUGUGAACAAGAGAAUUGAAAUUGGUUUUUCAGAACUUUUAAAUUGGGUGAAUUGUAAAGGAUUCCCUCCUUGGCAUUCAUUCAUUUAAGCCCCCAAUUUGAAUGGGAAACAUCGAGGAUGAUCCUAAAAGAACGAACAUUCUACUUUCUU
Long non-coding RNA from Ornithorhynchus anatinus (platypus), 556 nucleotides. RefSeq lists it as uncharacterized. The transcript has 2 exons. NCBI's taxonomy places the organism in Eukaryota, Metazoa, Chordata, Mammalia, Monotremata, Ornithorhynchidae. The record is from RefSeq and is a predicted model, not a curated record.